This 468-nucleotide ribosomal RNA is filed under the name uncultured bacterium. RNAcentral describes it as "partial 16S ribosomal RNA". It matches the Rfam family "Bacterial small subunit ribosomal RNA", at positions 28 to 507 of the family's 1533-position model. The record is from RNAcentral.
GACGAACGCUGGCGGCGUGCUUAACACAUGCAAGUCGAACGGAAAGGCCCUGCUUUUGUGGGGUGCUCGAGUGGCGAACGGGUGAGUAACACGUGAGUAACCUGCCCUUGACUUUGGGAUAACUUCAGGAAACUGGGGCUAAUACCGGAUAGGAGCUCCUGCUGCAUGGUGGGGGUUGGAAAGUUUCGGCGGUUGGGGCUGGACUCGCGGCUUAUCAGCUUGUUGGUGGGGUAGUGGCUUACCAAGGCUUUGACGGGUAGCCGGCCUGAGAGGGUGACCGGCGACAAUGGGACUGCGAGACGGACCAGACUCCUACGGUAGGCAGCAGUGGGGAAUAUUGCACAGUGAGCGGAAGCCUGAUGCAGCGACGCCGCGUGCGGGAUGACGGCCUUCGGGUUGUAAACCGCUUUCGCCUGUGACGAAGCGUGAGUGACGGUAAUGGGUAAAGAAGCACCGGCUAACUACGUG